This 253-nucleotide ribosomal RNA is filed under the name uncultured bacterium. RNAcentral describes it as "partial 16S ribosomal RNA". It matches the Rfam family "Bacterial small subunit ribosomal RNA", at positions 524 to 776 of the family's 1533-position model. The record is from RNAcentral.
UACGGAGGGUGCUAGCGUUGUUCGGAAUCACUGGGCGUAAAGCGCGUGUAGGCGGCCUGCGAAGUCUGAUGUGAAAGCCCGGGGCUCACCCCCGGAAGUGCAUUGGAAACUGGCAGGCUCGAGUCCCGGAGAGGAGGGUGGAAUUCCUGGUGUAGCGGUGAACUGCGUAGAUAUCAGGAGGAACGCCGGUGGCGAAGGCUGCCCUCUGGACGGUGACUGACGCUGAGCCGCGAAAGCGUGGGGAGCAAACAGG